This 253-nucleotide ribosomal RNA is filed under the name uncultured bacterium. RNAcentral's name for it is "partial 16S ribosomal RNA". It matches the Rfam family "Bacterial small subunit ribosomal RNA", at positions 524 to 776 of the family's 1533-position model. The record is from RNAcentral.
UACAGAGGGGGCAAGCGUUGUUCGGAAUUACUGGGCGUAAAGGGCGCGUAGGCGGCCUUCUAAGUCGAACGUGAAAUCCCCGGGCUCAACCCGGGAACUGCGUCCGAUACUGGAAGGCUUGAAUCCGGGAGAGGGAUGCGGAAUUCCAGGUGUAGCGGUGAAAUGCGUAGAUAUCUGGAGGAACACCGGUAGCGAAGGCGGCAUCCUGGACCGGCAUUGACGCUGAGGCGCGAAAGCCAGGGGAGCAAACGGG